This 438-nucleotide ribosomal RNA is filed under the name uncultured bacterium. RNAcentral describes it as "bacterial SSU rRNA". It matches the Rfam family "Bacterial small subunit ribosomal RNA", at positions 954 to 1392 of the family's 1533-position model. The record is from RNAcentral.
GCAUAACGCGAAGAACCUUACCAAGGCUUGACAUGCAUUUCUAAGCGCGUGAAAGCGCGUGACCCUUCGGGGGACUUGCACAGGUGCUGCAUGGCCGUCGUCAGCUCGUGUCGUGAGAUGUUGGGUUAAGUCCCGCAACGAGCGCAACCCUUGCGAACAGUUGCCAGCGCGUGAUGGCGGGAACUCUGUUCGGACUGCCCAGAUCAACUGGGAGGAAGGUGGGGAUGACGUCAGGUCAGUAUGGCCCUUACGCCUUGGGCUGCACACGUACUACAAUGCCCGGCACAAUGAGAACCGAGACCGCGAGGUGGAGGAAAUCUGGAAAACCGGGCCCAGUUCGGAUUGGAGGCUGCAACCCGCCUCCAUGAAGUCGGAAUCGCUAGUAAUGGCGCAUCAGCUACGGCGCCGUGAAUACGUUCCCGGGUCUUGUACACACCG